UUUGGUUAAGUUAGAAAGGGCGCACGGUGGAUGCCUUGACACUAGGAGUCGAUGAAGGACGGGACUAACGCCGAUAUGCUUCGGGGAGCUGUAAGUAAGCUUUGAUCCGAAGAUUUCCGAAUGGGGAAACCCACCAUACGUAAUGGUAUGGUAUCCUUAUCUGAAUACAUAGGGUAAGGAAGACAGACCCAGGGAACUGAAACAUCUAAGUACCUGGAGGAAGAGAAAGCAAAUGCGAUUUCCUGAGUAGCGGCGAGCGAAACGGAACAUAGCCCAAACCAAGAGGCUUGCCUCUUGGGGUUGUAGGACAUUCUAUACGGAGUUACAAAGGAACGAGGUAGACGAAGCGACCUGGAAAGGUCCGUCGUAGAGGGUAACAACCCCGUAGUCGAAACUUCGUUCUCUCUUGAAUGUAUCCUGAGUACGGCGGAACACGUGAAAUUCCGUCGGAAUCUGGGAGGACCAUCUCCCAAGGCUAAAUACUCCCUAGUGAUCGAUAGUGAACCAGUACCGUGAGGGAAAGGUGAAAAGCACCCCGGAAGGGGAGUGAAAGAGAUCCUGAAACCGUGUGCCUACAAAUAGUCAGAGCCCGUUAACGGGUGAUGGCGUGCCUUUUGUAGAAUGAACCGGCGAGUUACGAUCCCGUGCGAGGUUAAGCUGAAGAGGCGGAGCCGCAGCGAAAGCGAGUCUGAAUAGGGCGUUUAGUACGUGGUCGUAGACCCGAAACCAGGUGAUCUACCCAUGUCCAGGGUGAAGUUCAGGUAACACUGAAUGGAGGCCCGAACCCACGCACGUUGAAAAGUGCGGGGAUGAGGUGUGGGUAGCGGAGAAAUUCCAAUCGAACCUGGAGAUAGCUGGUUCUCCCCGAAAUAGCUUUAGGGCUAGCCUUAAGUGUAAGAGUCUUGGAGGUAGAGCACUGAUUGGACUAGGGGUCCUCAUCGGAUUACCGAAUUCAGUCAAACUCCGAAUGCCAAUGACUUAUCCUUAGGAGUCAGACUGCGAGUGAUAAGAUCCGUAGUCAAAAGGGAAACAGCCCAGACCGCCAGCUAAGGUCCCAAAGUGUGUAUUAAGUGGAAAAGGAUGUGGAGUUGCUUAGACAACUAGGAUGUUGGCUUAGAAGCAGCCACCAUUUAAAGAGUGCGUAAUAGCUCACUAGUCGAGUGACUCUGCGCCGAAAAUGUACCGGGGCUAAAUACACCACCGAAGCUGCGGAUUGAUACCAAUGGUAUCAGUGGUAGGGGAGCGUUCUAAGGACAGUGAAGUCAGACCGUAAGGACUGGUGGAGUGCUUAGAAGUGAGAAUGCCGGUAUGAGUAGCGAAAGACGGGUGAGAAUCCCGUCCACCGAAUGCCUAAGGUUUCCUGAGGAAGGCUCGUCCGCUCAGGGUUAGUCAGGACCUAAGCCGAGGCCGACAGGCGUAGGCGAUGGACAACAGGUUGAUAUUCCUGUACCACCUCUUUAUCGUUUGAGCAAUGGAGGGACGCAGAAGGAUAGAAGAAGCGUGCGAUUGGUUGUGCACGUCCAAGCAGUUAGGCUGAUAAGUAGGCAAAUCCGCUUAUCGUGAAGGCUGAGCUGUGAUGGGGAAGCUCCUUAUGGAGCGAAGUCUUUGAUUCCCCGCUGCCAAGAAAAGCUUCUAGCGAGAUAAAAGGUGCCUGUACCGCAAACCGACACAGGUAGGCGAGGAGAGAAUCCUAAGGUGUGCGAGAGAACUCUGGUUAAGGAACUCGGCAAAAUGACCCCGUAACUUCGGGAGAAGGGGUGCUUUCUUAACGGAAAGCCGCAGUGAAUAGGCCCAAGCGACUGUUUAGCAAAAACACAGCUCUCUGCGAAGCCGUAAGGCGAAGUAUAGGGGGUGACACCUGCCCGGUGCUGGAAGGUUAAGGAGAGGGGUUAGCGUAAGCGAAGCUCUGAACUGAAGCCCCAGUAAACGGCGGCCGUAACUAUAACGGUCCUAAGGUAGCGAAAUUCCUUGUCGGGUAAGUUCCGACCCGCACGAAAGGUGUAACGAUUUGGGCACUGUCUCAACCAGAGACUCGGUGAAAUUAUAGUACCUGUGAAGAUGCAGGUUACCCGCGACAGGACGGAAAGACCCCGUGGAGCUUUACUGUAGCCUGAUAUUGAAUUUUGGUACAGUUUGUACAGGAUAGGCGGGAGCCAUUGAAACCGGAGCGCUAGCUUCGGUGGAGGCGCUGGUGGGAUACCGCCCUGACUGUAUUGAAAUUCUAACCUACGGGUCUUAUCGACCCGGGAGACAGUGUCAGGUGGGCAGUUUGACUGGGGCGGUCGCCUCCUAAAGUGUAACGGAGGCGCCCAAAGGUUCCCUCAGAAUGGUUGGAAAUCAUUCGUAGAGUGCAAAGGCAUAAGGGAGCUUGACUGCGAGACCUACAAGUCGAGCAGGGACGAAAGUCGGGCUUAGUGAUCCGGUGGUUCCGCAUGGAAGGGCCAUCGCUCAACGGAUAAAAGCUACCCCGGGGAUAACAGGCUUAUCUCCCCCAAGAGUCCACAUCGACGGGGAGGUUUGGCACCUCGAUGUCGGCUCAUCGCAUCCUGGGGCUGUAGUCGGUCCCAAGGGUUGGGCUGUUCGCCCAUUAAAGCGGUACGCGAGCUGGGUUCAGAACGUCGUGAGACAGUUCGGUCCCUAUCCGUCGUGGGCGUAGGAAAUUUGAGAGGAGCUGUCCUUAGUACGAGAGGACCGGGAUGGACGCACCGCUGGUGUACCAGUUGUUCUGCCAAGGGCAUAGCUGGGUAGCUAUGUGCGGAAGGGAUAAGUGCUGAAAGCAUCUAAGCAUGAAGCCCCCCUCAAGAUGAGAUUUCCCAUAGCGUAAGCUAGUAAGAUCCCUGAAAGAUGAUCAGGUUGAUAGGUUCGAGGUGGAAGCAUGGUGACAUGUGGAGCUGACGAAUACUAAUAGAUCGAGGACUUAACCAUAUAA
This 2929-nucleotide ribosomal RNA is filed under the name Bacillus cereus. Its description in RNAcentral is "bacterial LSU rRNA". It matches the Rfam family "Bacterial large subunit ribosomal RNA". Lineage: Bacteria; Bacillati; Bacillota; Bacilli; Caryophanales; Bacillaceae. RNAcentral also lists the same sequence under 9 other names. The record is from RNAcentral.